GAUGAACGCUGGCGGCGUGCUUAACACAUGCAAGUCGAACGAACAUAUCUUUCGAGAUGUGUUAGUGGCAGACGGGUGCGUAACACGUAGGUGACCUGCCCUGGAGUGGGGAAUAACUAUCCUAACGGAUAGCUAAUACCGCAUAUGCUCAGCGAUUCAUUUUGUUGAGUAAAGGCGCAAGCCGCUUUGGGAUGGGCCUGCGGCGGAUUAGGUAGUUGGUGGGGUAAUGGCCUACCAAGCCGACGAUCCAUAGCUGGUUUGAGAGGAUGAUCAGCCACACUGGGACUGAGACACGGCCCAGACU
This 304-nucleotide ribosomal RNA is filed under the name uncultured bacterium. RNAcentral describes it as "bacterial SSU rRNA". It matches the Rfam family "Bacterial small subunit ribosomal RNA", at positions 28 to 337 of the family's 1533-position model. The record is from RNAcentral.